ACAGAGGGGGCAAGCGUUGCUCGGAAUCACUGGGCGUAAAGGGCGCGUAGGCGGGAUGGCAAGUCAGUCGUGAAAUCUCUCGGCUCAACCGAGAAACGUCGGCUGAUACUGCCGUUCUUGAGGGAUGCAGAGGAGACUGGAAUUCCCGGUGUAGCGGUGAAAUGUGUAGAGAUCGGGAGGAAUACCAGUGGCGAAAGCGGCUCUCUGGUCCAAAACUGACGCUGAGGGGCGAAAGCGUGGGGAGCGAACGGGA
RNAcentral lists this ribosomal RNA (253 nucleotides) under uncultured prokaryote. RNAcentral's name for it is "partial 16S ribosomal RNA". It matches the Rfam family "Bacterial small subunit ribosomal RNA", at positions 525 to 777 of the family's 1533-position model. The record is from RNAcentral.